UACGUAGGCAGCAAGCGUUGUUCGGAAUUACUGGGCGUAAAGAGUGUGUAGGCGGUGCUCUAAGUUCGGUGUGAAAUCUCCUGGCUCAACUGGGAGGGUGCGCCGGAAACUGGAGUGCUUGAGCGUGGGAGAGGAAAGCGGAAUUCCUGGUGUAGCGGUGAAAUGCGUAGAUAUCAGGAGGAACACCUGUGGUGUAGACGGCUUUCUGGACCAUAGCUGACGCUGAGACACGAAAGCGUGGGGAGCAAACAGG
This 253-nucleotide ribosomal RNA is filed under the name uncultured bacterium. RNAcentral's name for it is "partial 16S ribosomal RNA". It matches the Rfam family "Bacterial small subunit ribosomal RNA", at positions 524 to 776 of the family's 1533-position model. The record is from RNAcentral.